UAAUCUGUGUCCCAGACCAGACUGAGAGCUCUCUGAAAGCAGGGUCGGCUGAGGUCACUGUUGUAUCCCCAGCUGCUAGAACAGUGCCAGGCUCAUAGAAAACUCUGGCGCUUCUAAAGGGAACUCCACCCAAGCCCAGCUCCAGCAGGAAAUACCAAAAACUGCCCCUCUGUAGUUUGGGUCAUGGCACUCUUGCAUGAAGGAAAGGAGUAACAACUAAACCGGAGAUUUUUACUUCAGUGAUGGUUGAAGCGGCACAUUCCACAAGGUAGAGAAUGAAGAAGUGAUACAGGAGCAGGGGCAGGGAAGUGCUGGGAGGAGAAGGGUGGGGUCCCUGGCGAGGGAGCCACCCUCGGGUCUGUGCCCACGGACCUAGGUGAGGACAGGCACUCCUGUUUUCACACCCAAAUGUUGCAUUUUCCAAGAUGACCCUGGCCCGCCAUGCCCCCAUUCUGUGCCUAUAAAAACCCCCGAAACCCUAGUGGGUAGAGACACAAGCAGCUGGACGUCAAGAGGAGCACACGGGCAGAACAUACUGGCAGGCUCCAGCAGACCCUGGCAGGCCAUCCACCGGUGGAACAAGGAAGCCAGAGGAAUUUGGCCGGGGUGGUUGGAGUUGAG
RNAcentral lists this long non-coding RNA (621 nucleotides) under Homo sapiens (human). Its description in RNAcentral is "HSALNT0352703". The record is from RNAcentral. Lineage: Eukaryota; Metazoa; Chordata; Mammalia; Primates; Hominidae.